RNAcentral lists this ribosomal RNA (468 nucleotides) under uncultured bacterium. Its description in RNAcentral is "partial 16S ribosomal RNA". It matches the Rfam family "Bacterial small subunit ribosomal RNA", at positions 28 to 507 of the family's 1533-position model. The record is from RNAcentral.
GACGAACGCUGGCGGCGUGCUUAACACAUGCAAGUCGAACGGAAAGGCCCUGCUUUUGUGGGGUGCUCGAGUGGCGAACGGGUGAGUAACACGUGAGUAACCUGCCCUGGACUUUGGGAUAACUUCAGGAAACUGGGGCUAAUACCGGAUAGGAGCUCCUGCUACAUGGUGGGGGUUGGAAAGUUUCGGCGGUUGGGGAUGGACUCGCGGCUUAUCAGCUUGUUGGUGGGGUAGUGGCUUACCAAGGCUUUGACGGGUAGCCGGCCUGAGAGGGUGACCGGCCACAUUGGGACUGAGAUACGGCCCAGACUCCUACGGGAGGCAGCAGUGGGGAAUAUUGCACAAUGGGCGGAAGCCUGAUGCAGCAACGCCGCGUGCGGGAUGACGGCCUUCGGGUUGUAAACCGCUUUCGCCUGUGACGAAGCGUGAGUGACGGUAAUGGGUAAAGAAGCACCGGCUAACUACGUG